RNAcentral lists this ribosomal RNA (762 nucleotides) under Triticum aestivum (bread wheat). Its description in RNAcentral is "partial small subunit ribosomal RNA". The record is from RNAcentral. Lineage: Eukaryota; Viridiplantae; Streptophyta; Magnoliopsida; Poales; Poaceae.
AUGGCGGAUCACCAGAGGCAGAGGAUCCACCCGGUGGACCUGGAGGCGGGCCAGCCGAGGCCCUCGGCGCCGCUGGUGCCGCCGGGGAGCUCGUUCCGGUCCGACAAGGGCGACCCUGCCGCGGCCCCGGACAGGAGGCCGCCGCACCACCAGCCGCUGCCCCCGCCGAAGCGGCGCAGGGGCUGCUGCUGCCGCUUCAUCUGCUGCGUCCUGGUGACCGUCAUCCUGCUCGCCGUCCUCGCCGCGGUGGCCCUGGGCGCGCUCUACCUGGUGUUCCAGCCCAAGGCGCCCCACUACUCGGUGGACCGGCUGUCGGUGUCGCAGUUCCAGGUGGACCCGACCCUCACGGCGAGCGCGCGGUUCGACGUCACGGUGACGGCGGCGAACCCCAACAGCCGCAUCGGCAUCUUCUACGAGCGCGGGUCCAGCCUGAGCGUGUGGUACGACACCCACCGGCUCGCCCAGGGCGCGCUCCCGGCCUUCUACCAGGGCCGCCGCAACACGACGGUGCUGGGCGUGGUAAUGGCCGGGCAGGCGCAGCUGGGCAGCGCGGUGGUGGCGGCGCUGCGCGACGAGCAGCAGACGGGCGCCGUGCCGCUGGUGUUCCGCGCCGACGUGCCCGUGCGGGUGGAGCUCGGCAGCCUCAAGCUGUGGACGGUCACGUCCAGGGUGCGCUGCGACCUCGUCGUCGACAGCCUCCUCAACGCCAGCAGCCAGAUCAAGAUCAAGGCCAGCAACUGCAAGUUCAGCUUGAAGCUGUGA